GAUGAACGCUGGCGGCGUGCCUAAUACAUGCAAGUCGAGCGAACAGACGAGGAGCUUGCUCCUCUGACGUUAGCGGCGGACGGGUGAGUAACACGUGGAUAACCUACCUAUAAGACUGGGAUAACUUCGGGAAACCGGAGCUAAUACCGGAUAAUAUAUUGAACCGCAUGGUUCAAUAGUGAAAGACGGUUUUGCUGUCACUUAUAGAUGGAUCCGCGCCGCAUUAGCUAGUUGGUAAGGUAACGGCUUACCAAGGCAACGAUGCGUAGCCGACCUGAGGGGGUGAUCGGCCACACUGGAACUGAGACACGGUCCAGACUCCUACGGGAGGCAGCAGUAGGGAAUCUUCCGCAAUGGGCGAAAGCCUGACGGAGCAACGCCGCGUGAGUGAUGAAGGUCUUCGGAUCGUAAAACUCUGUUAUUAGGGAAGAACAAAUGUGUAAGUAACUAUGCACGUCUUGACGGUACCUAAUCAGAAAGCCACGGCUAACCACGUG
This 497-nucleotide ribosomal RNA is filed under the name uncultured bacterium. Its description in RNAcentral is "partial 16S ribosomal RNA". It matches the Rfam family "Bacterial small subunit ribosomal RNA", at positions 28 to 507 of the family's 1533-position model. The record is from RNAcentral.